UACAGUCCUCAGAAAAUGACUACACGUGUGAUGCUGUCAGCUGGGCUCCGCAGCUGGAAAUGUGCUCCGUGAAGAAGGCCCAGAGCUUUCUCAGCCCAGUGCCUCCAGCACCCAGCACUGGGCAAGGAAGAAACAAUCCUGGUCUCCUGUUAAGACUGCAGACUUGAGGGUUGGCCUAUGGGGUUUUAAAAAAAUUUAUUGUUGCUUUAAUUGAGUAAACACAAAAAUAAAUCAUAGUCUGCACAUGAGAGUCGAUGUGCUAGCUGGCUGUGUAGAUCUACUCAGGCUGCCGUCGGAAAGCACCACAGACUGGGCGUCUGAAACAACAGAGUGCUUUUCUUACGUUUCUGAAGUCCAGAAGUCUGAGAUCAGAGUGGCAGGGUCAUCUCCUCGGAGGCCUCUCUCUCCGUGGCUUGUAGAUGCCGUCUUCGCCCUGUGUCCUUGCGUGGCCUUCCCUGUAUGUCUGUGUCCUAAUCUACUUACAAGGACACCAAUCAGACUGGACCAGGGCCCACCCAGAUGGCCUCCUUUCACCUUAAUUAUCUCUUUAAGGCCCAGUCUCCAAAUACAGUCACAUUCUGAGUAACUGGAGGUUAGGACUUAAAUAUGGGAAUUUUGGGGGAGGAUGUCACAGUUCAGCCCGUACCGCUGGCAUUAAUUGUUGUGGAGCAGAGAAGAGGGAAGAAUAAAUUCCAGGCAGGGGGACAUUCAUGGGGGAUGUUAGUGGAAGCCCUCAGGACUGUGUGCUCCUCGAGGGCAGGACGGUGGCCAUUCCUCUCUGUCUACAGCACGCCUCAGCAGGGUACGGCUUUUGGAAGAUGCUCAUAAGACAGCCUUGAAUAAACAAACGAACAAGCGGUUGACUGAGCUAGCAUUUGCUCUAAUAGUGCUGUUAUCGGACAGCAUAAGCCAGCGGGAGAGCUGCUCUCUGUGGUUUUCUCGGGCGCUCCUCUCUUGUGCAGGGUCAGAGAGCAAGGCUCCAUGUUCCUCAUUUGCCUGCAACAAUGGCCAUCAGGAUCACAGCUUUCCAACCCAAUUAAACAUUUGGGUGGUUGGGACCGGCCCAAGGAAAACAGGAGUGUGCUCAAUCAAAUCUUUUAUUUGGAAAAUCUUUUUCAGCUGAGAGACCUGGGCCCCUUGUCAUUGCCUGGCUCUAGGAUCCUCUUGGUAAAAACCAGAGUGGAAAGUUAGGAAAAGACAACAACUGAGACUUAAAAAUGAUAAUCCUUCAAAUCUGUUAAAUACUUUACAGUUUUUACAGACGGCUUUCUCUUCCAUGAUUGGAUCUGACCCUUGAAACAACCCUGUGAAGUGGGUGACAGAAAGAGUCGGGCCUUCAAGGGGUGGGUUCCAGUCCCAGCUCUGCCGCUUCCUGGCGCUGAGAACUUGGAGAGUUGACACAGUUCUUCAAGAUCCAAUGUCCUCAUUUGUGUGAUGGAGAUGAUAAUGCCUACCCCGGAAGAUGGCUUUGAGGAUUGAUUGAUCUCAGAUGUUCGAAAGAGCCUCAGUCAAAAAACGGACAAAAGGCUUGAACCGGCGUUUGAACCCCCUGUCCUCACUCUCCCUCCGUUGCCUUUUGUAAAAUGGAGAGAAUACAGGAAUUGUUUCACGGGAGUGUUGUGGUGAUUAAAUGAACAAUGCAUGGAUAUAACAAGUGCUCAUUAAAGGGAGUUAUGGCUAUUUUUUCAGACUGAUGCCUUUUUAAAAAAAUGAGACAGUUACUAGUUUCCUUCUGAAUGUUUCAAACUUGAAAUUGUCUUUGACUUAAAAAAAACUUACAGCUUCCAAUUCAAGAGAAAUGGACAGACACAUGGAAACAACGCCAGACUGGGAGCCGAGUCUGGGCUCGGGUUUGGUUCUGACGCUUCCUGGCUGUGAGGCCUCAGGUUAUGCAAGAUGACACACGUUAAGAGGCAGCUCCUGGAAAUCUACCAGGAAUGUUGAUGGAGCAAGCUGGACAUACAAGGCUAACAGCAGCCCAGGAUGACAGAAGCCUGGCUCAGACCUGUCUCUGUGCUCCGCCUAUGUGGCAGUCCAUAGCCACCUCAUUGCUCAAAAGGAGACCUUCUUCUCAGUUACCUGACAGCUGGCUGGCUACCUCUGGAAAUGUAUUACGACCUCUGAGAAGGGUGAACUGGAGAAGGAGCAGCAGAAGCACCGCAUCAUUGCAUUGCCAGGCCGGGAGAAAUAACAGUGUCUCCUUGCAGGAACUGUUUAUUCCCAUAGUGCUUUGAUUUAAGCUUACAAGGAGAAUGGCCAGUUACGAGUAAUUUCCCUGAAAAUUCUGUUUUAUCUGCCUGGAGGUCCUUAGUGCUAAACGGUUAUGGCCCACAUCUGGAGAAGCCUGAGGGGCCCCUGGACAUCUUGGCUCCCUGGUUUCAAUCAAAGUGCCUUAUCAGCCUCUCACAAGUGUUUGCAAAUGUAGAAAUGAAUUUGUGAAGGAGCAAAUGGAAAUGCAGAGCUGAAAGAGAUCCUUUGAUCCAAGCCCCUCAUUAUAUAGAUAGGGAAAGGGAGG
RNAcentral lists this long non-coding RNA (2515 nucleotides) under Equus caballus (horse). Its description in RNAcentral is "lncRNA (ENSECAG00000054473.1)". The record is from RNAcentral. Lineage: Eukaryota; Metazoa; Chordata; Mammalia; Perissodactyla; Equidae.